RNAcentral lists this ribosomal RNA (253 nucleotides) under uncultured bacterium. RNAcentral's name for it is "partial 16S ribosomal RNA". It matches the Rfam family "Bacterial small subunit ribosomal RNA", at positions 524 to 776 of the family's 1533-position model. The record is from RNAcentral.
UACAGAGGGCGCGAGCGUUGUCCGGAAUCACUGGGCAUAAAGGGCGCGUAGGCGGCUUUCUAAGUCAGGGGUGAAAUCCGGCAGCUCAGCUGUCGCAGUGCCUUUGAUACUGGAGAGCUCGAGGGAGGUAGGGGUCUGUGGAACUUCCGGUAGAGCGGUGAAAUGCGUUGAUAUCGGAAGGAACGCCGGUGGCGAAAGCGACGGACUGGAUCUCUACUGACGCUGAGGCGCGAAAGCCAGGGGAGCAAACGGG